UACGUAGGAUGCAAGCGUUGUCCGGAAUUAUUGGGCGUAAAGCGCGCGCAGGCGGUCCUUUAAGUCUGAUGUGAAAGCCCACGGCUCAACCGUGGAGGGUCAUUGGAAACUGGGGGACUUGAGUGCAGAAGAGGAAAGCGGAAUUCCACGUGUAGCGGUGAAAUGCGUAGAGAUGUGGAGGAACACCAGUGGCGAAGGCGGCUUUCUGGUCUGUAACUGACGCUGAGGCGCGAAAGCGUGGGGAGCAAACAGG
This 253-nucleotide ribosomal RNA is filed under the name uncultured bacterium. Its description in RNAcentral is "partial 16S ribosomal RNA". It matches the Rfam family "Bacterial small subunit ribosomal RNA", at positions 524 to 776 of the family's 1533-position model. The record is from RNAcentral.